RNAcentral lists this ribosomal RNA (925 nucleotides) under uncultured bacterium. RNAcentral describes it as "bacterial SSU rRNA". It matches the Rfam family "Bacterial small subunit ribosomal RNA", at positions 8 to 929 of the family's 1533-position model. The record is from RNAcentral.
AGAGUUUGAUCCUGGCUCAGAUUGAACGCUGGCGGCAUGCCUUACACAUGCAAGUCGAACGGCAGCACGGACUUCGGUCUGGUGGCGAGUGGCGAACGGGUGAGUAAUAUAUCGGAACAUACCCAGUAGUGGGGGAUAACUAUCCGAAAGGAUAGCUAAUACCGCAUACGAUCUGUGGAUGAAAGCAGGGGAUCUUCGGACCUUGUGCUAUUGGAAUGGCCGAUAUCUGAUUAGCUAGUUGGUAGGGUAAAAGCCUACCAAGGCGACGAUCAGUAGCUGGUCUGAGAGGACGACCAGCCACACUGGAACUGAGACACGGUCCAGACUCCUACGGGAGGCAGCAGUGGGGAAUUUUGGACAAUGGGGGCAACCCUGAUCCAGCAAUGCCGCGUGAGUGAAGAAGGCCCUCGGGUUGUAAAGCUCUUUUGUCAGGGAAGAAACGGAGUUCUCUAAUAUAGGAUUCUAAUGACGGUACCUGAAGAAUAAGCACCGGCUAACUACGUGCCAGCAGCCGCGGUAAUACGUAGGGUGCAAGCGUUAAUCGGAAUUACUGGGCGUAAAGCGUGCGCAGGCGGUUUUGUAAGUCUGAUGUGAAAUCCCCGGGCUCAACCUGGGAACUGCAUUGGAGACUGCAAGGCUAGAGUGUGUCAGAGGGGGGUAGAAUUCCACGUGUAGCAGUGAAAUGCGUAGAGAUGUGGAGGAAUACCGAUGGCGAAGGCAGCCCCCUGGGAUAACACUGACGCUCAUGCACGAAAGCGUGGGGAGCAAACAGGAUUAGAUACCCUGGUAGUCCACGCCCUAAACGAUGUCUACUAGUUGUCGGGACUUAAUUGUCUUGGUAACGCAGCUAACGCGUGAAGUAGACCGCCUGGGGAGUACGGUCGCAAGAUUAAAACUCAAAGGAAUUGACGGGGACCCGCACAAG